CGCCUCUCAGGGUCGCACCUGGGGAGUUUCCAGUACUCUACCAAUCUCGACUAUAGGAGGGAGAGUCAAACAGAGGCCCAUCCAUUCCAUUCCUAGCUUGGCCAGUGGCUAGCGAAUGGGGGGCAAUCUGUUACAAAC
Tachyglossus aculeatus (Australian echidna) is the source of this 138-nucleotide small nucleolar RNA. The record is from RefSeq and is a predicted model, not a curated record. Lineage: Eukaryota; Metazoa; Chordata; Mammalia; Monotremata; Tachyglossidae.